Molecule: long non-coding RNA, 1212 nt
Organism: Cyprinus carpio (common carp)
Lineage: Eukaryota; Metazoa; Chordata; Actinopteri; Cypriniformes; Cyprinidae
Source: Ensembl
AUGACGGUGGUGUCAUACAUAAAUCACCAAGGCGGGCUGCCAUUGCCACGACUCUUCAGGCUAACGUCGCGACUGGAAAUAGACCUCUUUGCCUCAAAAGAUAACUCUCAUUGCCCAACAUAUUUUUCCAAGAUCGAGGACGUGUUGGCCCAGGACUGGCCCAACCGGCUUCUUUAUGCUUUUCCUCCGAUUCCUCUGAUUCCCCAAGUAAUCAGGUGGGUCAGGGAUCAGAGAUGCAGAGUUCUUCUUGUGGCCCCACUCUGGGAAAACCAACAUGGGAUAGCCGACCUGUCACAGAUGCUGACGGCGGCCCCUGUGGCCCAUACCUCUGAGACGGAACCUCCUUUCUCAGGUGGGUGGGACAAUUUGGCACCCACAACCAGAGCUGUGGGCUUUGCACCUUUGGUCACUCAACGGGAACCUACGGGACUCCCUGAGUGCAUACUAGACACUAUUUCACAGGCUAGAGCUCCAUCUACAAGAAACCUCUAUGCCUCUAAGUGGUCAGUGUUCUCCACAUGGUGCUCAGACCAUGGCGAAGACCCUGCCUCCUGUGACGUAUCAGUGAUACUGUCAUUUUUACAAGAGCUGUUGGAUAAGGGGCGGUCCCCCUCCACGCUCAAGGUCUAUGUAUCGACUAUAGCGGCAUCACACACCCCUAUAGCAGGCCAGUCGGUGGGCAAAAACGACCUUGUCAUUCGAUUUAUGAGAGGUGCCAGAAGGCUUAAUCUGCCUCGCUCUCUCACUAUCCCUUCAUGGGACCUGCCCAAGGUGCUAAGAGCAUUGAAGGGUGCCCCCUUUGAGCCGCUACAAUCCAUCAGCCUGAAGGCCCUGUCACUGAAGACCACUCUGCUACUAGCACUGGCAUCUGUAAAGCGUGUGGGAGAUUUGCAAGCACUCUCGAUAGGCCCUAGUUGCCUGGAAUUCGGGCCUAACGAUUUGAAGGUCAUCCUGAAACCAAGGCAUGGCUACAUACCAAAGAUGCUCUUCACACCCUUUAGAACACAAGUGGUUACUCUCUCUACGUUACAAAACACAGAGGAAGAUCGAGAGCUGAAUCUACUAUGUCCUGGAAGGGCACUGAAAGCCUACACGGAGCGCUCUGUGCCGAUAAGGCAAUCAGAACAGCUCUUUGUAUGCGUUGGAGGCCGCACCAAAGGGUUGCCGGUCUCAAAGCAAAGGCUUUCUAAGUGGAUUGUGGACGCGAUUUAG